GCACUUUAAUAUUUUUUUAUAUAAUUUUUAUUUCAUUUCUUUAUAUGUGAAGAAAAAUGUUGGGUUAUGUAAUGAACUCCCUCAAAGCUUUAUACGGAAAAAAAAGUGCGUUCUUAAUUCAUUUAAUUGUAAAGGUUUAUUUUUUUUUGGGUUCCCCCUUUUCCUGUUUCACGUGGGGCACUAGUUAGCGCGACACCACGCCUGAAAGCUCCGUGUUUUCCCGGGCAUUUCACAGUCUCAUGGUGAAUGCUGAAUGGGAGAGGGAAAGAGAGGGUGUGUCUACGUGCGUGUGUGCAUGUGCUAACUCUGCCCAUGUAUUGUGUUCAGGUACGUUUUACCAGUGUAUUAACUGUUUUAACUGUUUUAAACUGUUAAAAAGAGGUUCAGUUCUAUAAAUAAUAAUUCAUUGUUGGCCAUUGUGAUAAAUAGCUACCUUAUGUGAUUAUAUUAACCUCAGUUUUGGUUAUUUGUGUGAUGAUUUCGUGUAGCGAAGCAAAAAAGAAAGUUUCUACCUAGUCAGUUAAUCUUAAAAAAGUACACGGCCGAUCAUUUUAUUUACGGUACAAAGUAUUUACAUUUUAUUUAGACAGUCUCAUGGUGAAUGCUGAAUGGGAGAGGGAAAGAGAGGGUGUGUCUACGUGCGUGUGUGCAUGUGCUAACUCUGCCCAUGUAUUGUGUUCAGCAAUAAACAUUGAAGACCGAC
Molecule: long non-coding RNA, 703 nt
Organism: Trichomycterus rosablanca
Lineage: Eukaryota; Metazoa; Chordata; Actinopteri; Siluriformes; Trichomycteridae
Exons: 2
Source: RefSeq, a predicted model, not a curated record